CCUGGGCAGUGGCGGGGCUGGCCGAGGCUGCGGCAUUUCUCCCCAAGGAAGUGUCUUCCCCGCUUUCCCUAUUCUUCUGUUUCUCACACACUUUCUAUCUCAUUCUGUAACUUUCAAGCCUUUCCUUCUAACUGUAUGUAUUUAGUUGCUUGUUUUCAAGCUGGUUCCCUCUCUGGCCCCCUGGCCUGGGGAAAGCCUCCACACUUACUGCGAGUCUUGUUUAGAGUCUGAGUUUGUGAGAUUAUUGGGGGGAGAGUGGGCGAGUGGCUGACAGGUGACCCCCAGGAGGAGGAUUCCUGGGGCUGGUGUCUUCUCCCAGCUGCUGCUUCCAGUGGGCCUGGGCCCAGGACUGGACCUCCGCUGGCACCCCUGAGUGCCUCCCUGCCAGGUUGCAAAAGUGUCCACUACGAUCUGGUCUUCCUCCUGGACACCUCCUCCAGCGUGGGCAAGGAGGACUUUGAGAAGGUCCGGCAGUGGGUGGCCAACCUGGUGGACACCUUUGAGGUGGGCCCCGACCGCACCCGUGUGGGGGUCGUGCGCUACAGCGACCGGCCCACCACGGCCUUCGAGUU
This 572-nucleotide small RNA is filed under the name Pan troglodytes (chimpanzee). Its description in RNAcentral is "processed transcript". The record is from RNAcentral. Lineage: Eukaryota; Metazoa; Chordata; Mammalia; Primates; Hominidae.